This 432-nucleotide unclassified non-coding RNA is filed under the name soil metagenome. RNAcentral describes it as "partial contains 5.8S ribosomal RNA, internal transcribed spacer 2, and large subunit ribosomal RNA". The stretch from base 1 to 120 matches the Rfam family "5.8S ribosomal RNA", at positions 35 to 154 of the family's 154-position model. The record is from RNAcentral.
GAUGAAGAACGCAGCGAAAUGCGAUACGUAAUGUGAAUUGCAGAAUUCAGUGAAUCAUCGAAUCUUUGAACGCAUAUUGCGCUCUCUGGUAUUCCGGAGAGCAUGCUUGUUUGAGUAUCAGUAAACACCUCAACUUCCAUAUCUUUUUAGAAAUGGGAGUUGGACUUGAGUGAUCCCAACGCUUUUCCUCACCGAAAAGUGGCGGGUUACUUGAAAUGCAGGUGCAGCUGGACUUUUCUCUGAGCUAUAAGCAUAUCUAUUUAGUCUGCCUAAAAAACAGAUUAUUACCUUUGCUGCAGCUAACAUAAAGGAGAUUAGUUCUUGUGCUGACUGAUGCAGGAUUCACAAAGACGGCUUCGGCCGACUUUGUAAACUCGAUCUCAAAUCAAGUAAGACUACCCGCUGAACUUAAGCAUAUCAAUAAGCGGAGGA